GGAGGGGGGCCGGCCUAAUAAUGCAAGUCGAGCGAAUGUGAUUAAUAGCUUGCUCUUAUGAAGUUAGCGGCGGACGGGUGAGUAACACGUGGGUAACCUGCCCAUAAGACUGGGAUAACUCCGGGAAACCGGGGCUAAUACCGGAUAACAUUUUGAACCGCAUGGUUCGAAAUUGAAAGGCGGCUUCGGCUGUCACUUAUGGAUGGACCCGCGUCGCAUUAGCUAGUUGGUGAGGUAACGGCUCACCAAGGCAACGAUGCGUAGCCGACCUGAGAGGGUGAUCGGCCACACUGGGGACUGAGACACGGCCCAGACUCCUACGGGAGGCAGCAGUAGGGAAUCUUCCGCAAUGGACGAAAGUCUGACGGAGCAACGCCGCGUGAGUGAUGAAGGCUUUCGGGUCGUAAAACUUCUGUUGUUAGGGGAAGAACAAGUGCUAGGUUGAAUAAGCUGGCACCUUGGACGGUACCUAACCAGAAAGCCACGGCUAACUACGUGCCAGCAGCCGCGGUAAUACGUAGGUGGCAAGCGUUAUCCGGAAUUAUUGGGCGUAAAGCGCGCGCAGGUGGUUUCUUAAGUCUGAUGUGAAAGCCCACGGCUCAACCGUGGGAGGGUCAUUGGAAACUGGGAGACUUGAGUGCACAAAAAGGGGGAGUGGAAUUCUCCUGUGUUUCGGCUGUAAAUGCGUUAGAGGAGAUGGA
Molecule: ribosomal RNA, 701 nt
Filed under: Bacillus cereus
Lineage: Bacteria; Bacillati; Bacillota; Bacilli; Caryophanales; Bacillaceae
Description: bacterial SSU rRNA
Rfam family: Bacterial small subunit ribosomal RNA
Source: RNAcentral